GAAGUAGACAAGGUGGUCGCCGGUUCUCAUACUUGUAAAAGAGAACGGGAGGAAAGUCCGAGCUCCAUAGGACACAGUGCUCCGUAACCCGGAGUCUUGGUAACAAGAAGGAAAGUGCAACAGAAAAUAUACCGUCCACGUAUAGGUGGAUAAGGGUGAAAUGGUGGGGUCGUUUACGACUUAAUGUAAGAGCCCACCGCUUCAAUGGCGACAUUGGAGGCAUGGCAAACCCCACUGGGAGAAAGGCUAAAUAGGGAGGGAUGAAGUGGUCCGCUUCGUUAUUACCUCUGGGUAAGCCGUUAGAACCUGCUGGCAACAGCAGGUCUAGAUAAAUGAUCACCCACGACAAAACUCGGCUUAUUGUCUACUUAAAGC
RNAcentral lists this RNase P RNA (375 nucleotides) under Candidatus Jettenia caeni. RNAcentral describes it as "planctomycete KSU-1 Bacterial RNase P class A". It matches the Rfam family "Bacterial RNase P class A". Rfam says of the family: Ribonuclease P (RNase P) is a ubiquitous endoribonuclease, found in archaea, bacteria and eukarya as well as chloroplasts and mitochondria. Its best characterised activity is the generation of mature 5'-ends of tRNAs by cleaving the 5'-leader elements of precursor-tRNAs. RNAcentral also lists the same sequence under 2 other names. Lineage: Bacteria; Pseudomonadati; Planctomycetota; Candidatus Brocadiia; Candidatus Brocadiales; Candidatus Brocadiaceae. The record is from Rfam by way of RNAcentral.